Molecule: ribosomal RNA, 364 nt
Filed under: uncultured microorganism
Description: bacterial SSU rRNA
Rfam family: Bacterial small subunit ribosomal RNA
Source: RNAcentral
GAGUUUGAUCGUGGCUCAGGAUGAACGCUGGCGGCGUGCCUAACACAUGCAAGUCGAGCGAAGCAUACAGGAGGAAGUUUUCGGAUGGAAUCCUGCAUGGCUGAGCGGCGGACGGGUGAGUAACGCGUGGGUAACCUGCCUUAUACAGGGGAGUAACAGUUAGAAAUAGACUGCUAAUACCGCAUAAGCGCACAGUACCGCAUGGUAGUGUGUGAAAAACUACCGGUGGUAUAAGAUGGACCCGCGUCUGACUAGCCAGUUGGCGAGGUAACGGCUCACCAAGGCGACGAUCAGUAGCUGGUCUGAGAGGAUGAUCCGCCACACUGGGACUGAGACACGGCCCAGACUCCUACGGGAGGCAGCA